AGAUUGAACGCUGGCGGCAGGCCUAACACAUGCAAGUCGAGCGGCAGCACGGGUACUUGUACCUGGUGGCGAGCGGCGGACGGGUGAGUAAUGCCUAGGAAUCUGCCUGAUAGUGGGGGAUAACGUUCGGAAACGGACGCUAAUACCGCAUACGUCCUACGGGAGAAAGUGGGGGAUCUUCGGACCUCACGCUAUCAGAUGAGCCUAGGUCGGAUUAGCUAGUUGGUAGGGUAAAGGCCUACCAAGGCUACGAUCCGUAACUGGUCUGAGAGGAUGAUCAGUCACACUGGAACUGAGACACGGUCCAGACUCCUACGGGAGCAGCAGUGGGGAAUAUUGGACAAUGGGCGAAAGCCUGAUCCAGCCAUGCCGCGUGUGUGAAGAAGGUCUUCGGAUUGUAAAGCAACUUUAAGUUGGAGAAGGCAUUAACCUAAUACGUUAGUGUUUGACUUACGACAGAAUAAGCACCGGCUAACUCUGUGCCAAGCAAGCCGA
Molecule: ribosomal RNA, 495 nt
Filed under: uncultured soil bacterium
Lineage: Bacteria
Description: bacterial SSU rRNA
Rfam family: Bacterial small subunit ribosomal RNA
Source: RNAcentral